CUAGAUCGGGGGGCCUCGAUCCCACAAAAUCUUAGUUAACAACUAAACACCCAAACCAGAGGGCUUCAGUCUA
RNAcentral lists this transfer RNA (73 nucleotides) under Lepidodactylus manni. RNAcentral's name for it is "tRNA-Asn". The record is from RNAcentral. Lineage: Eukaryota; Metazoa; Chordata; Lepidosauria; Squamata; Gekkonidae.